GCCGUCGUGGCUUAGCUCGGUAAAGCGGCUGAUUCGUAAUCAGCAGAUCAAGGGUUCAAAUCCCUUCGACGGCU
Candidatus Methanoperedens sp. is the source of this 74-nucleotide non-coding RNA. The record is from Rfam. Lineage: Archaea; Methanobacteriati; Methanobacteriota; Methanomicrobia; Methanosarcinales; Candidatus Methanoperedentaceae.